RNAcentral lists this ribosomal RNA (151 nucleotides) under Rhizocarpon disporum. Its description in RNAcentral is "5.8S ribosomal RNA". It matches the Rfam family "5.8S ribosomal RNA". Rfam says of the family: 5.8S ribosomal RNA (5.8S rRNA) is a component of the large subunit of the eukaryotic ribosome. It is transcribed by RNA polymerase I as part of the 45S precursor that also contains 18S and 28S rRNA. The record is from RNAcentral. Lineage: Eukaryota; Fungi; Ascomycota; Lecanoromycetes; Rhizocarpales; Rhizocarpaceae.
CUUUCAACAACGGAUCUCUUGGUUCUGGCAUCGAUGAAGAACGCAGCGAAAUGCGAUAAGUAAUGUGAAUUGCAGAAUUCAGUGAAUCAUCGAAUCUUUGAACGCACAUUGCGCCCUUUGGUACUCCAAGGGGCAUGCCUGUUCGAGCGUC